RNAcentral lists this ribosomal RNA (564 nucleotides) under uncultured Glomeromycotina. RNAcentral describes it as "SSU rRNA". It matches the Rfam family "Eukaryotic small subunit ribosomal RNA", at positions 548 to 1114 of the family's 1831-position model. The record is from RNAcentral. Lineage: Eukaryota; Fungi; Glomeromycota.
UUGGAGGGCAAGUCUGGUGCCAGCAGCCGCGGUAAUUCCAGCUCCAAUAGCGUAUAUUAAAGUUGUUGCAGUUAAAAAGCUCGUAGUUGAAUUUCGGGAUCAGUUGGUCGGUCGUGCCUCGGUACGUACUGGUCAAAUUGAUUCCUACCUUCUGACGAACCACGAUGUCAUUAAUUUGGUGUCGCGGGAAAUCAGGACUGUUACUUUGAAAAAAUUAGAGUGUUUAAAGCAGGCUCGCGCUUGAAUACAUUAGCAUGGAAUAAUGAAAUAGGACGUUUGAUUCUAUUUUGUUGGUUUCUAGGAUCGACGUAAUGAUUAAUAGGGAUAGUUGGGGGCAUUAGUAUUCAAUUGUCAGAGGUGAAAUUCCUGGAUUCAUUGAAGACUAACUACUGCGAAAGCAUUUGCCAAGGAUGUUUUCAUUAAUCAAGAACGAAAGUUAGGGGAUCGAAGACGAUCAGAUACCGUCGUAGUCUUAACCAUAAACUAUGCCGACUAGGGAUCGGAUGAUGUUAAUUUUUUAAUGACUCAUUCGGCGCCUUACGGGAAACCAAAGUGUUUGGGUUC